Molecule: ribosomal RNA, 779 nt
Filed under: uncultured bacterium
Lineage: Bacteria
Description: bacterial SSU rRNA
Rfam family: Bacterial small subunit ribosomal RNA
Source: RNAcentral
CUGGCGGCGUGCUUACACAUGCAAGUCGUACGANAACACCUUANCUUGCUAGGGUAAGUAAAGUGGCGCAUGGGUGAGUAACGCGUGGGUAAUCUACCUUCGAAUUGGGGAUAACGUUGCGAAAGCGACGCUAAUACCGAAUAACAUCCAUAGAUCUUAUGAUUUUUGGAUCAAAGGUGGCCUCUACAGGUAAGCUACUGUUUGAAGAUGAGCCCGCGUACCAUUAGCUUGUUGGUGGGGUAAUGGCCUACCAAGGCGACGAUGGUUAGCUGGUCUGAGAGGAUGAUCAGCCACACUGGAACUGACACACGGUCCAGACUCCUACGGGAGGCAGCAGUGAGGAAUCUUGGGCAAUGGGCGAAAGCCUGACCCAGCGACGCCGCGAGGGGGAAGAAGCUCUUCGGGGUGUAAACCCCUUUUCUGGGGGAAGAAUAAGGUGAGGAGGUAAUGCCUCAUCGAUGACGGUACCCCAGGAAUAAGCCCCGGCUAACUACGUGCCAGCAGCCGCGGUAAGACGUAGGGGGCAAGCGUUGCCCGGAAUCACUGGGCGUAAGGGGCGCCUAGGCGGUUCAGCAAGUCGUCUGUGAAAGCCCCCGGCUCAACUGGGGAACGCCGGGCGAUACUGCUGGGCUAGAGGGUGGCAGAGGAAGGUGGAACGACCGGAGUAGCGGUGAAAUGCGUAGAUACCGGUCGGUACCCCGAUGGCGAANGCAACCUUCUGGGCCAUCUCUGACGCUGAAGCGCGAAAGCGUGGGGAGCAAACCGGNAUUAGAUACCCG